This 464-nucleotide ribosomal RNA is filed under the name uncultured bacterium. RNAcentral describes it as "bacterial SSU rRNA". It matches the Rfam family "Bacterial small subunit ribosomal RNA", at positions 917 to 1382 of the family's 1533-position model. The record is from RNAcentral.
GGGCCCGCACAAGCGGUGGAGUAUGUGGUUUAAUUCGAUGCAACGCGAAGAACCUUACCAAGGCUUGACAUCCCGUGACAAACUGUGAAAGCAGGAUUUCCCUUCGGGGACACGGAGACAGGUGGUGCAUGGUUGUCGUCAGCUCGUGUCGUGAGAUGUUGGGUUAAGUCCCGCAACGAGCGCAACCCUUGUCCUUAGUUACCAGCAUUAAGUUGGGGACUCUAGGGAGACUGCCAGUGACAAACUGGAGGAAGGUGGGGAUGACGUCAAAUCAUCAUGCCCUUUAUGCCUUGGGCUACACACGUACUACAAUGGGCUGUACAGAGGGCGGCAAGACCGUGAGGUCAAGCGAAUCCCUUAAAGCAGUCCUCAGUUCGGAUUGUAGGCUGCAACUCGCCUACAUGAAGCUGGAAUCGCUAGUAAUCGCUGGUCAGCAUACAGCGGUGAAUACGUUCCCGGGCCUU